This 328-nucleotide ribosomal RNA is filed under the name uncultured Anaplasma sp. RNAcentral describes it as "bacterial SSU rRNA". It matches the Rfam family "Bacterial small subunit ribosomal RNA", at positions 933 to 1257 of the family's 1533-position model. Lineage: Bacteria; Pseudomonadati; Pseudomonadota; Alphaproteobacteria; Rickettsiales; Anaplasmataceae. The record is from RNAcentral.
UGGAGCAUGUGGUUUAAUUCGAUGCAACGCGAAGAACCUUACCACUUCUUGACAUGGAGAUUAGAUCCUUCUUAACAGAAGGGCGCAGUUCGGCUGGAUCUCGCACAGGUGCUGCAUGGCUGUCGUCAGCUCGUGUCGUGAGAUGUUGGGUUAAGUCCCGCAACGAGCGUAACCCUCAUCCUUAGUUGCCAGCGGGUUAAGCCGGGCACUUUAAGGAGACUGCCAGUGGUAAACUGGAGGAAGGUGGGGAUGAUGUCAAGUCAGCACGGCCCUUAUGGGGUGGGCUACACACGUGCUACAAUGGUGACUACAAUAGGUUGCAACGCCG